RNAcentral lists this ribosomal RNA (780 nucleotides) under uncultured Neocallimastigales. Its description in RNAcentral is "partial large subunit ribosomal RNA". It matches the Rfam family "Eukaryotic large subunit ribosomal RNA", at positions 24 to 629 of the family's 3401-position model. The record is from RNAcentral. Lineage: Eukaryota; Fungi; Neocallimastigomycota; Neocallimastigomycetes; Neocallimastigales.
UAUCUCUGUAGAGUCUGCAUAUCAAUAAGCGGAGGAAAAGAAACUAACUAAGGAUUCCCUCAGUAACGGCGAGUGAAGCGGGAAGAGCUCAAAUUUGAAAUCUUCAAGGUUUUACCUUGACGAAUUGUAGUUUAAAGAAGUGUAUUCUGUUGAAGUUUUCGGUAAAAGUUCUUUGGAAUAGGACAUCAUAGAGGGUGAGAAUCCCGUAUUUGACCAGUUACUUUCCAGCUGUUGUGAUACACUUUCAAAGAGUCGGAUUGUUUGGGAAUGCAGUCCAAAAUGGGUGGUAAAUUUCAUCUAAAGCUAAAUAUUGGCGAGAGACCGAUAGCGAACAAGUACCGUGAGGAAAAGAUGAAAAGAACUUUGAAAAGAGAGUUAAACAGUACGUGAAAUUGUCAAAAGGGAAGCGUUUGACACCAGUGUUGUUUUCUCGAAAAUCAAUUAAAAAAGGCAGGAUUUUGUGUUGUAUUGACUUUAUCAGCUUUCUGCACUCUUUUCUUGUCUUUUUUUAAUGCACUUUUCGUUUAACAAGUCAACAUCAAUUUCUUUUGUUGUAAAAGGGUCAUUGGAAGGUGGCUUUCUUUUCGGAGAAAGUGUUUAUAGCCUUUGGCCUCUGCAAUCGGAGAGAUUGAGGUCUGCAGCGUAGAUCCUUCGGGGUUAGAUACCUUUGUGCUAAGUUAUAGCCUUUCAUAGACAACUUGUCGACUAUGAUCAGUCAUGUAGCUUACUCGCUUAUGCUAUUUUACCUACGCUUAGGAUGUUGAUAGUCACAGCGUGUAC